This 423-nucleotide ribosomal RNA is filed under the name uncultured bacterium. Its description in RNAcentral is "partial 16S ribosomal RNA". It matches the Rfam family "Bacterial small subunit ribosomal RNA", at positions 360 to 774 of the family's 1533-position model. The record is from RNAcentral.
AAUCUUCCGCAAUGGACGCAAGUCUGACGGAGCAACGCCGCGUGAGUGAUUAAGGUUUUCGGACCGUAAAACUCUGUUGUUAGGGAAGAACAAGUACCGUUCGAAUAGGUCGGUACCUUGACGGUCCCUAACCAGAAAGCCACUGCUAACUACGUGCCAGCAGCCGAGGUAACACGUAGGUGGCAAGCGUUACCCGGAAUUAUUGGGCGUAAAGCGCGAGCAGGCGGUUACUUAAGUCUGAUGUGAAAGCCCACGGCUCAACCGUGGAGGGUCAUUGGAAACUGGGGAACUUGAGUGCAGAAGAGGAGAGUGUAAUUCCAUGUGUAGCGGUGAAAUGCGUAGAGAUAUGGAGGAACACCAGUGGCGAAGGCGACUCUCUGGUCUGCAACUGACGCUGAGGCGCGAAAGCGUGGGGAGCAAACA